Molecule: microRNA precursor, 123 nt
Filed under: Gossypium hirsutum (cotton)
Lineage: Eukaryota; Viridiplantae; Streptophyta; Magnoliopsida; Malvales; Malvaceae
Description: MIR7502 microRNA precursor family
Rfam family: MIR7502 microRNA precursor family
Source: Rfam by way of RNAcentral
UGUUAAAAAUUUCAUCACUUCUACUAUUAAAAAUCGGUUGUGGUUGACGGAAUAACCGUGUGUACUUCAUGCUAACAUAUAGGAAUUAGUUUUUAACAAUAAAAAUAGAUAAAAAUUUUAAUA